RNAcentral lists this microRNA precursor (80 nucleotides) under Electrophorus electricus (electric eel). RNAcentral describes it as "microRNA eel-mir-11064 precursor". Lineage: Eukaryota; Metazoa; Chordata; Actinopteri; Gymnotiformes; Gymnotidae. The record is from miRBase by way of RNAcentral.
CAGGGCAGAAGCCGAGAGGACCUGUCGCCAUGUCCUCGCUGCUGACCAUGUUGGCUGGACGUCAGCGACUGUCCGCUUGG